UGCAUGGUGUUGUGAGCAGA
Molecule: small RNA, 20 nt
Filed under: Bombyx mori (domestic silkworm)
Lineage: Eukaryota; Metazoa; Arthropoda; Insecta; Lepidoptera; Bombycidae
Description: ovarian small RNA-33589
Source: RNAcentral